This 468-nucleotide ribosomal RNA is filed under the name uncultured bacterium. RNAcentral describes it as "partial 16S ribosomal RNA". It matches the Rfam family "Bacterial small subunit ribosomal RNA", at positions 28 to 507 of the family's 1533-position model. The record is from RNAcentral.
GACGAACGCUGGCGGCGUGCUUAACACAUGCAAGUCGAACGGAAAGGCCCUGCUUUUGUGGGGUGCUCGAGUGGCGAACGGGUGAGUAACACGUGAGUAACCUGCCCUUGACUUUGGGAUAACUUCAGGAAACUGGGGCUAAUACCGGAUAGGAGCUCCUGCUGCAUGGUGGGGGUUGGAAAGUUUCGGCGGUUGGGGAUGGACUCGCGGCUUAUCAGCUUGUUGGUGGGGUAGUGGCUUACCAAGGCUUUGACGGGUAGCCGGCCUGAGAGGGUGACCGGCCACAUUGGGACUGAGGUACGGCCCAGACUCCUACGGGAGGCAGCAGUGGGGAAUAUUGCACAAUGGGCGGAAGCCUGAUGCAGCAACGCCGCGUGCGGGAUGACGGCCUUCGGGUUGUAACCCGCUUUCGCCUGUGACGAAGCGUGAGUGACGGUAAUGGGUAAAGAAGCACCGGCUAACUACGUG